RNAcentral lists this unclassified non-coding RNA (340 nucleotides) under Hevea brasiliensis (rubber tree). Lineage: Eukaryota; Viridiplantae; Streptophyta; Magnoliopsida; Malpighiales; Euphorbiaceae. The record is from RNAcentral.
ACCAACGCUUCCACAACAUCAAAAAUCACGACACGGAACUCCAAUACCUUGGACAGAUGGAAGAAAUUCCAAUAACAACACGCCAAACUUUACCCAAACAGAUCAAUAAGUGUAUAAAAUCUCAGACGUUCAAAUACCCAAUCCAAAAAAGAAAUUCCCCGCUCGUUUGCAGAGAAGACUGAGUUUCGCCAAUAGUUUCCUUGAAAUCGUCAGGGCGAAGACAGAACAUAAAAAAAACGAAGAUAAAUCCUCGUAGUUCCCAGGAAAAUUAAAGAACAACAGAGAGAGUAAUCCCCUAAUUUCCCAGGAACCAAUGAGUAAACGGAUCGGCAAAGAGAGG